UUAAGCGACUAAGCGUACACGGUGGAUGCCUAGGCAGUCAGAGGCGAUGAAGGGCGUGCUAAUCUGCGAAAAGCGUCGGUAAGCUGAUAUGAAGCGUUAUAACCGACGAUACCCGAAUGGGGAAACCCAGUGCAAUACGUUGCACUAUCGUUAGAUGAAUACAUAGUCUAACGAGGCGAACCGGGGGAACUGAAACAUCUAAGUACCCCGAGGAAAAGAAAUCAACCGAGAUUCCCCCAGUAGCGGCGAGCGAACGGGGAGGAGCCCAGAGUCUGAAUCAGUUUGUGUGUUAGUGGAAGCGUCUGGAAAGUCGCACGGUACAGGGUGAUAGUCCCGUACACCAAAAUGCACAGGCUGUGAACUCGAUGAGUAGGGCGGGACACGUGACAUCCUGUCUGAAUAUGGGGGGACCAUCCUCCAAGGCUAAAUACUCCUGACUGACCGAUAGUGAACCAGUACCGUGAGGGAAAGGCGAAAAGAACCCCGGCGAGGGGAGUGAAAUAGAACCUGAAACCGUGUACGUACAAGCAGUGGGAGCACCUUCGUGGUGUGACUGCGUACCUUUUGUAUAAUGGGUCAGCGACUUAUAUUUUGUAGCAAGGUUAACCGAAUAGGGGAGCCGUAGGGAAACCGAGUCUUAACUGGGCGUCUAGUUGCAAGGUAUAGACCCGAAACCCGGUGAUCUAGCCAUGGGCAGGUUGAAGGUUGGGUAACACUAACUGGAGGACCGAACCGACUAAUGUUGAAAAAUUAGCGGAUGACUUGUGGCUGGGGGUGAAAGGCCAAUCAAACCGGGAGAUAGCUGGUUCUCCCCGAAAGCUAUUUAGGUAGCGCCUCGUGAACUCAUCUUCGGGGGUAGAGCACUGUUUCGGCUAGGGGGCCAUCCCGGCUUACCAAACCGAUGCAAACUCCGAAUACCGAAGAAUGUUAUCACGGGAGACACACGGCGGGUGCUAACGUCCGUCGUGAAGAGGGAAACAACCCAGACCGCCAGCUAAGGUCCCAAAGUCAUGGUUAAGUGGGAAACGAUGUGGGAAGGCACAGACAGCCAGGAUGUUGGCUUAGAAGCAGCCAUCAUUUAAAGAAAGCGUAAUAGCUCACUGGUCGAGUCGGCCUGCGCGGAAGAUGUAACGGGGCUAAACCAUGCACCGAAGCUGCGGCAGCGACACUUAGGUGUUGUUGGGUAGGGGAGCGUUCUGUAAGCCGUUGAAGGUGACCUGUGAGGGUUGCUGGAGGUAUCAGAAGUGCGAAUGCUGACAUAAGUAACGAUAAUGCGGGUGAAAAACCCGCACGCCGGAAGACCAAGGGUUCCUGUCCAACGUUAAUCGGGGCAGGGUGAGUCGACCCCUAAGGCGAGGCUGAAAAGCGUAGUCGAUGGGAAACAGGUUAAUAUUCCUGUACUUGGUGUUACUGCGAAGGGGGGACGGAGAAGGCUAGGCUGGCCGGGCGACGGUUGUCCCGGUUUAAGCGUGUAGGGGGAGUGACCAGGUAAAUCCGGUUGCUUAUCAACCCUGAGGCGUGAUGACGAUGCACCACGGUGCAGAAGCAGUUGAUGCCAUGCUUCCAGGAAAAGCCUCUAAGCAUCAGGUAACAUUAAAUCGUACCCCAAACCGACACAGGUGGUCAGGUAGAGAAUACUCAGGCGCUUGAGAGAACUCGGGUGAAGGAACUAGGCAAAAUGGUGCCGUAACUUCGGGAGAAGGCACGCUGGCGUUAGGUGAAAGGACUAGCUCCUGGAGCUGAAGCCAGUCGCAGAUACCAGCUGGCUGCAACUGUUUAAUAAAAACACAGCACUGUGCAAACACGAAAGUGGACGUAUACGGUGUGACGCCUGCCCGGUGCUGGAAGGUUAAUUGAUGGGGUCAGCCGCAAGGCGAAGCUCUUGAUCGAAGCCCCAGUAAACGGCGGCCGUAACUAUAACGGUCCUAAGGUAGCGAAAUUCCUUGUCGGGUAAGUUCCGACCUGCACGAAUGGCGUAAUGAUGGCCAGGCUGUCUCCACCCGAGACUCAGUGAAAUUGAACUCGCUGUGAAGAUGCAGUGUACCCGCGGCAAGACGGAAAGACCCCGUGAACCUUUACUAUAGCUUGACACUGAACAUUGAGCCUUGAUGUGUAGGAUAGGUGGGAGGCCUUGAAGUGUGGACGCCAGUCUGCAUGGAGCCAACCUUGAAAUACCACCCUUUAAUGUUUGAUGUUCUAACUCGGCCCCAUGAUCUGGGGUGAGGACAGUGUCUGGUGGGUAGUUUGACUGGGGCGGUCUCCUCCCAAAGAGUAACGGAGGAGCACGAAGGUUAGCUAAUCACGGUCGGACAUCGUGAGGUUAGUGCAAAGGCAUAAGCUAGCUUGACUGCGAGAGUGACGGCUCGAGCAGGUACGAAAGUAGGUCUUAGUGAUCCGGUGGUUCUGAAUGGAAGGGCCAUCGCUCAACGGAUAAAAGGUACUCCGGGGAUAACAGGCUGAUACCGCCCAAGAGUUCAUAUCGACGGCGGUGUUUGGCACCUCGAUGUCGGCUCAUCACAUCCUGGGGCUGAAGUAGGUCCCAAGGGUAUGGCUGUUCGCCAUUUAAAGUGGUACGCGAGCUGGGUUUAGAACGUCGUGAGACAGUUCGGUCCCUAUCUGCCGUGGGCGUUGGAAGAUUGAGAGGGGCUGCUCCUAGUACGAGAGGACCGGAGUGGACGAAUCACUGGUGUUCGGGUUGUCAUGCCAAUGGCAUUGCCCGGUAGCUAAAUUCGGAAGAGAUAACCGCUGAAAGCAUCUAAGCGGGAAACUUGCCUCGAGAUGAGUCUUCCCUGGGGCUUAAAGUCCCCUGAAGGAACGUUAAAGACUAUGACGUUGAUAGGCUGGGUGUGUAAGUGCAGCGAUGUAUUGAGCUAACCAGUACUAAUGAUCCGUGAGGCUUAACCUU
RNAcentral lists this ribosomal RNA (2905 nucleotides) under Yersinia pestis 790. RNAcentral describes it as "bacterial LSU rRNA". It matches the Rfam family "Bacterial large subunit ribosomal RNA". The record is from RNAcentral. Lineage: Bacteria; Pseudomonadati; Pseudomonadota; Gammaproteobacteria; Enterobacterales; Yersiniaceae.